GACAGAGGUCCCGAGCGUUAGGCGGAAUCACUGGGCUUAAAGCGUGUGUAGGCGGAUUUGUAAGUACCUUGUGAAAUCCCACGGCUCAACCGUGGAACUGCUUGGUAUACUGCUUAUCUUGGGCCAUCUAGGGGCGAGCGGAACAAACGGUGGAGCGGUGAAAUGCGUAGAUAUCGUUUGGAACGCCAAUGGUGAAAACAGCUCGCUGGGGAUGUGCCGACACUGAGACACGAAAGCCAGGGGAGCGAACGGG
This 253-nucleotide ribosomal RNA is filed under the name uncultured bacterium. RNAcentral describes it as "partial 16S ribosomal RNA". It matches the Rfam family "Bacterial small subunit ribosomal RNA", at positions 524 to 776 of the family's 1533-position model. The record is from RNAcentral.